RNAcentral lists this long non-coding RNA (430 nucleotides) under Mytilus galloprovincialis (Mediterranean mussel). Lineage: Eukaryota; Metazoa; Mollusca; Bivalvia; Mytilida; Mytilidae. The record is from RNAcentral.
UAUAGAAAAACUAGAGGCUCUAAAGAGCCUGUGUCGCUCACCUUGGUCUAUGUGAAUAUUAAAGGAAGCAGAUGGAUUCAUGGCAAAAUUGUGUUUUGGUGAUGGUGAUGUGUUUGUACAUCUUACUUUACUGAACAUUCUUGCUGCUUAAAAUUAUCUCUAUCUAUAAUGAACUUGGCCCAUUAGUUUCAGUGGAAAAUGUUAGUAAAAAUUUACAAAUUUUAUGAAAAUUGUUAAAAAUUGACUAUAAAGAACAAUAACUCCUUAGGGGGUCAAUUGACCAUUUCGGUCAUGUUGACUUAUUUGUAAAUCUUACUUUGCUGAACAUUAUUGUUGUUACAGUUUAUCUCUAUCAAUAAUAAUAUUCAAGAUAAUGACCAAAAACAGCAAAAUUUCCUUAAAACUAACAAUUCAGGGUCAGCAACCCAAC